This 181-nucleotide microRNA precursor is filed under the name Podarcis lilfordi (Lilford's wall lizard). The record is from RNAcentral. Lineage: Eukaryota; Metazoa; Chordata; Lepidosauria; Squamata; Lacertidae.
AGUCUAAAAUCUUUGGAACUGCUUGGAUAUUGUGACCUUAGGGCAAGUCCUCAGACUGCCAACUUCUGAAUACUAAGGGACAAUUUAUAAUUUAGAAAUUGUCCCUUAGUAUUCAGAAGUUGGCAAUUUGAGGACUUGCCCUAAGGUCACAAUAUCCAAGCAGUUCCAAAGAUUUUAGCUU